AUGCACUGACAGUAUAUUUCUAAAAUACAUUAUUUAGUAUUCUUUAGAAACAGUAUAUUUUAAGCACAUUUUGAAAGUAUAUGGGGUGUACAAGUAUAUUAUUUUAUGGAGAAAUAACGUGGGCUUAAAAUUACGAGAGAGCAGUAUGUUCUGUUACAUUUUAUAUUGUAGAUGUAUACAUUUGUAAUAUACUAUUAACAUAAUAAGGUACACUUUAACUUCACUAUAGUCAAGCAUUGGAUAAACCAAUGAACUGUGUUUUACCACAAAAUGACCAUGGUUUUGCUAAUAAUAAUCAAUACACCAAAAAAAAAAACAUGGUUACUAAACUUUUACCACAAAAAAACAUUCAUUUUCGUAAGGGGAAUAUGAGUGUUUGUUUUUUUGUAGUUUUUGAGUCAAUUGCAUACCGCUUUUAGCUGUACACAUUAAUUAACUUAAACAGUUUUCGUAAAUGCAUUUCAGAGAAAAGUGAAUUCUGAGAUUUGAAUAAUGCAUCUGACGUGUGGGAUGACGUCACGACGCACGUAUUUUGAUUUUUACCAGUCGCUCAAGACAGACGGAUUCAGUCCCAAGAAGCUAAAGUUUUUCAAAGACAUUUGUAGGGAGGACUUUGCAGCUAAUGAUUUCCUAAGCCUGAACCAAAACCUGCCAGACUAAAGUUGAUUUGGGAGAGAAAGACGUUGUAAACUUAAUCAUCUUGACAUUCUUCAAUGAGUAAUUGUUCAAUUUUUAGGCAAAUACUGUACACUUUGAAUGCUGUGAAUAAAACUAUAUUUUAAAUAUA
Misgurnus anguillicaudatus (oriental weatherfish) is the source of this 787-nucleotide non-coding RNA. Lineage: Eukaryota; Metazoa; Chordata; Actinopteri; Cypriniformes; Cobitidae. The record is from RefSeq and is a predicted model, not a curated record.